This 4202-nucleotide unclassified non-coding RNA is filed under the name Lucilia cuprina (Australian sheep blowfly). Its description in RNAcentral is "polypyrimidine tract-binding protein 1, transcript variant X9". Lineage: Eukaryota; Metazoa; Arthropoda; Insecta; Diptera; Calliphoridae. The record is from RNAcentral.
GAAAAUUUUAAUUGUAAAAAAACAAGGUUGUUUUUUUUUUUUUGUCACACGAAAAGAAAAUUUAAGAGUUAUUAACAACUGUAAAAUUAAACAGAAAUCAAUUAGCAAUUCGUAAGGUUGUUGUAUAAUAAAUUUAUUACAUUUUAAAUUAAACACUAGAGUAAAGCUCUACAAACAGCUAUAAGUAAUAUUUUAGCAAUCAAAGAAAGGAUUAAACAAUUCAAUACCCCGUACCCAAGUCAAUUGUAUAAAAAAAAAAAAACAUAAAAAUUAGCAAAAAGUAUCUUAUAUACAAAACUUUUAAUAAAAUACUUUUGUGAAAUAUUUCAGCUAGAAUAAUAAACUUUAUAAUAAAAUUAUUAUAAUUAAAACAAAAAAAUUUAAGUUAUAAGAUUUUAGCUAAAAAAAAGUUAGUGGGAUUUUGGCUAUAUUUUGACAAAAUCCUUAAAUGUAUUAAAAACACAUUAUUAAAAAAAACUAACUCAAGAAAACGCGUUUUGACAAUCAUAUAAAAUCAAUAGCGUAUAAAUAUCAAACAAAUAAUUAUAUCUAAAUAUAUAUAUAUACUUAUAAAACAGUGUGUUUACUCUUUUGAACAUCUGCUCCUCAAUCCCUCUUAACGACAAUCUUUUAAGGUCUAAAGAAUAAAUCUAAUCUUAAAUUCUUUACCCAAUCUAUGUGAUCUUUAUAUACAUAUAUAUAUCAAUCCUCAAAACUCUGACAAUCUGUCUACAAAUUUUACUCUUAAAAUUUAUACAAUUUAUACCAGUAGUUUAAUCUAAAAACAUUUCAUAUAAAAUAUUUAAUCACAACAUUUUAUCUCAAUAUAUAUUUAUAUAUAAAUAAUCUUUUCAAUUAUAAAACAAUCAAAAAAACUCAUACAUACUUAUAGUAUAAACUAAUUAACUAACUAUUGCACAAAUUUAUAUCAAUCAAUACUUAAUAUUCAAAUUUUAAACCAUUAAAUAUAGAUCUUCUUAUUGACAAUCUUAUUCAAUCAUCUAUAACUAUUUAUAGGCCUCUCCUCAAAUUUAAACUCAAAGUGUUUCAAUACAUUUUUUUUCUUAACUUAAAUCUUAAAAAAGCAACACUUAUAAAAUAAUCACAAAUAAACAAUCUACAGAAUUUACCUUAAUUUAUAUAAAUAUAUACAUAUAUAUAAACAUUUUAGCAAAUAAGUAGAAAUUAUAUUAUAUUUAUAACAAUUAAAACCUAAUCAAAUAAUCAAUCAAAGUGCAUAAUAUAGAAAAGAUAUAACAAUCAAGGCAACAAUUUGUUUAAUUAAAAUAAUUGCUAAAACAACAAAAAAUUUAAACAGACUUUACAGCCCAUAAAUCAAAACCCCAUUUAAAACACAUAACUAUAUUUGUCCUUUAAAACCAAACCCACAAAUUUUAUCCUUAUAACGACAAUUACUUCUUUCCUUCCUUCCUUUUCAAUAUCCCUAAAUACCACAAUAAUUUCGUUAUAAUCAACAAAUAACAACAAAUCAACAUCUACUUAAAUAAACGUUAAAUUUGUAUAAAUUCAUAUAUAAAAAAAUAAUAACCAACAACAUUAAAAGUUAAUUAAAUUUGCCAAAAAAAAAAUUAAAUAAACAAAAAUAUAAAAAAAUCACAGAAUUUAGUGUCAGUGUUAAAAAAAAAACGUUUGCAAAAGAAUAUUAAAUUUCUACAAAGCAGUUGCAGCUAAAACUACAACUUCAGCUUCAACAAAAUAAAAUAAGACAAGUUUUAACUUAACUUUAUAAUGCAAAUGCAGUUGUUACAAGCAGCACCAACACCAGCGCAUCCUCAUCAUUUGCAUAUGACGCCACAAACGUAUACUACGGCUACGUAUCCAGCAACAGCUGCUGCUGCAGCAGCCGCUGCCACUAUGCUGCAUCAACAGCAGCAGCAACAACAACAACAGCAGCAGCAUCAAUUCCAGAUGCAACAAUUCUAUGCUGCUCAACAACAACAACAGCAGCAACAGGCUGCUGUGGCCCAACAACAACAGCAGCAGCAGCAACAACAACAGCAGCAACAACUGCAAAUGUUGCAAACUUAUAUGCAAAUGCAAAUGAGUAAUGCCACCUCGCCCACUACGCCCACCAAAUACAAUUCCAAUCUAUUGGGCCAGGCUACACAGCAGCAGCAACCUGCUACAGCGGCCUUCUUCUCAACGGCCGCUGCUACACCCUUGACGAUCAUACCCACCUGUAAUGGCUCGGCAGCUGUGGCAGCCGCUAUGUUUGCAGCAAAUAUGGCUGGUACGACUUCAUCAUCGUCGUCAACAACUACUCCAUCCAAUAAUGUAAAUAAUAACAUUAGUCUAUCUGCAACUAGUUCUUCUCCAGCAGCAACUGCAGCGACUGGGGGAGCCUUCCUCAAUGCUCUGGCUACAACAAACGCUUUUACGUCUAUCAACACUAAUGGUCACCAUGCCCUUAACAACACUGGUCCUGGUCUCUUGGGUGGAGCACCCAAUGGCUUGCUGCAAACCAAUGACUUUAGCACCAAAUUUUUUACUAAAACAACCACUAUUGUGUCUAAUAAUAGUGGUGGCAGUUAUGUUGGUAUGCGUUCAGGUGCUGGUUUGCUAGGAAGUGCUCCUGGCUGUCCUACCAUUGAGUUGGCCAAUAAAACUUCGAAAUUAUUAUUGGCCACCUCACCAGUGGCCAGCCACAGUCAGACCACUUCUUUGGCUUCGAACUGCUCCAGCUCAAGUCGUUGCAGUUCUGCUUCUUCUGAUUGUUCUAUGCCAUCGCCAUCUUCAUUACACCUAUCUUCUCCUAAAAAGCGUGGUAGCGACGAACUUUUAAGUCAAGCAGCAGUUAUGGCGCCCGCUUCGGACAAUAAUAAUCAGGAUUUAGCCACAAAGAAAGCCAAAUUGGACUCAAGCACCGUACUGGGUGGAGUUGGUAAACCCUCAAAAGUUAUACAUUUGCGUAACAUUCCAAAUGAAUCGAGUGAUGCUGAUGUCAUUGCCUUGGGUGUACCUUUUGGCCGUGUCACAAAUGUUCUUAUAUUAAAGGGCAAAAAUCAAGCAUUUUUAGAAAUGGCCGAUGAAGUUUCCGCCACAGCAAUGGUCUCAUGUUAUAACAUUAAUCCGCCACAGAUGCGCGGUCGCAUGGUUUAUGUACAAUUUUCAAAUCAUCGUGAAUUAAAAACGGAUCAAAAUCAUGGCAACGCCAUUGUACCCGCUGAUUAUCGCAUACAAUCACCAGCAUCGGGCUCUCCAUUGCCUCUAACCAAUACCACAAAUACAGAUCUCACAGUGGCCGUUUUAACAAAUAAUACAAAUGCUGUUAAUUCUGUAUCCGGUAAUGCCAAUACUGCCGGUGGUCCCAAUACUGUUUUACGUGUUAUAGUCGAAUCUCAAUUGUAUCCCGUUUCCUUGGAUAUCUUACAUCAAAUAUUCCAACGUUUCGGCAAAGUUUUAAAAAUUGUUACAUUUACAAAAAAUAAUACAUUCCAGGCGCUCAUACAAUAUCCCGAUGCCCAUUCGGCUCAACAUGCUAAAACUAUUUUGGAUGGUCAAAAUAUUUACAAUGGCUGUUGUACGCUACGUAUUGAUAACAGCAAAAUGACUACGCUCAAUGUUAAAUACAAUAAUGAUAAGUCACGCGAUUUUACAAAUCCCUCAUUGCCACCUGGUGAACCGGGUGCCGAUAUUAUGCCCACCGCUGGCGGUUUAGUAAAUGCCAAUGAUUUACUAUUGAUAGCGGCCCGUCAAAGGCCCUCAUUAACAGGUGAUAAAAUAGUAAAUGGUUUAGGAGCACCCGGCGUGUUGCCACCAUUUGCUUUGGGCAUAGGUACUCCCUUGGCUGGAGGCUAUAGCAGUGGUAUACCCAAUUUGGGGGCAUUUGCUCUUGCCAAUAGUGGUGCUUUACAAACAGCCACCCCUGCUUUGCGUGGUUUCUCAAAUGUCUUGCUUGUUUCGAAUUUAAAUGAAGAGGUGUUUAUGGCGAUGUGCAACGUGUAAAGAUUUUAUAUAAUAAAAAGGAUUCAGCUCUUAUACAAAUGGCCGAACCACAGCAAGCUUAUUUGGCUAUGAAUCAUCUUGACAAAUUACGCUUGUGGGGCAAGGCGAUACGUGUUAUGGCCAGCAAACACCAGGCUGUACAACUGCCAAAAGAAGGACAACCCGAUGCCGGCCUUACACGUGACUACUCUCAGAAUCCAUUGCAUCGAUUCAAGAAACCAGGCAGCAAAAACUAU